AUUGAACGCUGACGGCAUGCUUUACACAUGCAAGUCGAACGGUAACAGGUUAAGCUGACGAGUGGCGAACGGGUGAGUAAUGCAUCGGAACGUGCCCAGUCGUGGGGGAUAACGCAGCGAAAGCUGUGCUAAUACCGCAUACGAUCUAUGGAUGAAAGCGGGGGACCGUAAGGCCUCGCGCGAUUGGAGCGGCCGAUGUCAGAUUAGCUAGUUGGUGGGGUAAAGGCUCACCAAGGCGACGAUCGGUAGCCGACCUGAGAGGGUGAUCGGCCACACUGGAACUGAGACACGGUCCAGACUCCUACGGGAGGCAGCAGUGGGGAAUAUUGCGCAAUGGGCGAAAGCCUGACGCAGCGACGCCGCGUGAGGGAUGAAGGUCUUCGGAUUGUAAACCUCUUUCAGCAGGGACGAAGCGAAAGUGACGGUACCUGAAGAAGAAGCACCGGCUAACUACGUG
Molecule: ribosomal RNA, 457 nt
Filed under: uncultured bacterium
Lineage: Bacteria
Description: bacterial SSU rRNA
Rfam family: Bacterial small subunit ribosomal RNA
Source: RNAcentral